RNAcentral lists this ribosomal RNA (240 nucleotides) under uncultured bacterium. Its description in RNAcentral is "partial 16S ribosomal RNA". It matches the Rfam family "Bacterial small subunit ribosomal RNA", at positions 15 to 244 of the family's 1533-position model. The record is from RNAcentral.
GAUCAUGGCUCAGGAUGAACGCUAGCUACAGGCUUAACACAUGCAAGUCGAGGGGAAACGACAUCGAAGGCUUGCUUUUGAUGGGCGUCGACCGGCGCACGGGUGAGUAACGCGUAUCCAACCUGCCCACCACUUGGGGAUAACCUUGCGAAAGUAAGACUAAUACCCAAUGAUAUCCCACGAAGGCAUCCGAAUGGGAUUAAAGAUUUAUCGGUGAUGGAUGGGGAUGCGUCUGAUUAG